Long non-coding RNA from Lynx canadensis (Canada lynx), 831 nucleotides. RefSeq lists it as uncharacterized. The record is from RefSeq and is a predicted model, not a curated record. NCBI's taxonomy places the organism in Eukaryota, Metazoa, Chordata, Mammalia, Carnivora, Felidae. The transcript has 3 exons.
GCAAACAAGCGCAACGCUUAACGUUGUUUUAUGCUGUGGCGGAUGGGAGGAGAAAUGCUUCAAUACUGAAGAAUUUGCGUAAAAAUACAGGUGCAGAAAAACGUAGAGAGAGUGCAAUCUCCGUGUGGAAACAUGCGUUCGUAUUUGCAAAGAAUACACGGGAAAUAAAAGGGGGGGGGGGAGUACGGGAUGGAUUGAGAGCGAAAAAUUUUAAUUCCUUCCCUGUAUGACUGUAUAACCUAUUUAAAUUAUAUGGAUCUUUAAAGCGUGUAUGGUGGGAAAUUUCUCUUCUACUCAACUAAUACCUCCUUAUCCCGAUUCCCUUGAGGCAAGCACCUUAAGGAUUUCUUGACGUUGCAGAGUUAUUCCAUACAUCUGUUCUACAAAUAGAAAUGUGUAUGAAUGCGUUGGGUCAACCUGAACAUAAAAAGACACUAUGAAAGCCAAACAAGUGUUUGAGAUCUAAGAACUGCAAUUCGAAAUUUUGGUUGUUUCCACCUUUUGGCUGUUGUGAAGAAUGCCGUUAUGAGCAUAGCUGUGCAAGUAUCACUUGAAGUUCCUGUUUUCAAUGGUUUGAGGGAAAGCAGAGUGUACUCCUGAAGGGGCUGAAUUACCGAUCACCUGACCCUCCUCAGAACUUUCCUCAGUGACUGUCAAACACUCAAUAGACACGCGGUGAGUGAAUCUGCUUUACCAAAUUGCCCUGCAGUGUAGUUGUGACAAUCACACUCUGUUUUAAUGUGUAAAUAUCUUCUAAGUGCUACAAUCUGAUCAGGGAGUAAGGGAGCCUCCCUUAAAUUUGUAAUGUGUGUUUAAACUUUCCUUGGGGCG